This 200-nucleotide ribosomal RNA is filed under the name uncultured bacterium. RNAcentral's name for it is "partial 16S ribosomal RNA". It matches the Rfam family "Bacterial small subunit ribosomal RNA", at positions 8 to 211 of the family's 1533-position model. The record is from RNAcentral.
AGAGUUUGAUCCUGGCUCAGAUUGAACGCUGGCGGCAUGCCUAACACAUGCAAGUCGAACGGCAGCACAGUAAAGAUUUCGGUCUUUAUGGGUGGCGAGUGGCGGACGGGUGAGUAAUGCGUAGGAAUCUGUCCUGGAGCGUGGGAUAACCCGAGGAAACUCGGGCUAAUACCACAUGAUAUCGAGAGAUCAAAAGCAGG